GGGGGUAUAGCUCAGGGGUAGAGCAUUUGACU
This 32-nucleotide non-coding RNA is filed under the name Xenopus tropicalis (tropical clawed frog). RNAcentral also lists the same sequence under 4 other names. Lineage: Eukaryota; Metazoa; Chordata; Amphibia; Anura; Pipidae. The record is from RNAcentral.